AUAUAGCUCAGUUGUAUGUAUACACAAAAUCUACACACACAUAUAUCUCAGCCAAUCAGCAGCCAUGAAUGCCAAGCUCUUUUCUCUUUUCUUCAUACUUCUCUUCAUUGUUUCUCCCCUCACAUGUGCUCGGAAACUGUCCGAUGAAACUCAGGGAAGUCAUCCUAUAGGUAACCCUUUGAAAAAAGGGCCCAUAUGUAAUAAUCGUAGAUAUGGCAGCUGUAUUGGUGCCCGACCAAAGCCUCGAAGGUGCGGCUUCAACAAUCGCUCUUGCGGCGUUCCUCCAUCAGAGCCAUCCAAUUAAACCAAGCAAAUAUUGUAUGACGUCGUCUCUAUAAGAUGACGUGUAAUACUUUUAGUUAAAAUAUAAUAUUUUUCUAUAAAUUUAUAUAAAAAAAUUACAUUAUAAUAAAAAGUAUUACACGUCUCAGUAUUGAAAAUAUGAAAGCUGGCCUCAACUUUAUUUAAAUAUUACUUUGUAUAUUUUAGUGAAAAAGUAUUACAUAUCUGCAUAAUAAUAGAGGUGUUAUCAUCAUACUACAUAGUAGUUGAUAGCCUCAGCUUUAUGAAUUUGUCAUUAUAUUUGCUUAUAGAAACACUCCUGCAUGUAUCUUUUUAACCAAUUGC
Molecule: long non-coding RNA, 627 nt
Organism: Ipomoea nil (Japanese morning glory)
Lineage: Eukaryota; Viridiplantae; Streptophyta; Magnoliopsida; Solanales; Convolvulaceae
Exons: 2
Source: RefSeq, a predicted model, not a curated record